RNAcentral lists this ribosomal RNA (253 nucleotides) under uncultured bacterium. Its description in RNAcentral is "partial 16S ribosomal RNA". It matches the Rfam family "Bacterial small subunit ribosomal RNA", at positions 524 to 776 of the family's 1533-position model. The record is from RNAcentral.
UACGGAGGGUGCAAGCGUUGUUCGGAAUUACUGGGCGUAAAGCGCGCGUAGGCGGUUUGCUAAGUCAGAUGUGAAAGCCCUCGGCUUAACCGGGGACGUGCAUUUGAAACUGGCAGACUUGAGUACUGGAGGGGGUGGUGGAAUUCCCGGUGUAGAGGUGAAAUUCGUAGAUAUCGGGAGGAAUACCGGUGGCGAAGGCGACCACCUGGCCAGAUACUGACGCUGAGGCACGAAAGCCAGGGGAGCAAACGGG